RNAcentral lists this transfer RNA (75 nucleotides) under bacterium. RNAcentral's name for it is "tRNA-Val". It matches the Rfam family "tRNA". Rfam says of the family: Transfer RNA (tRNA) molecules are approximately 80 nucleotides in length. Their secondary structure includes four short double-helical elements and three loops (D, anti-codon, and T loops). The record is from RNAcentral.
GGACAUUUAGCUUAGUGGUAGAGCGUUCCGUUCACAUCGGAAAGGUCACUGGUCCGAUUCCAGUAAUGUCCACCA